Molecule: ribosomal RNA, 497 nt
Filed under: uncultured bacterium
Lineage: Bacteria
Description: partial 16S ribosomal RNA
Rfam family: Bacterial small subunit ribosomal RNA
Source: RNAcentral
GAUGAACGCUGGCGGCGUGCCUAAUACAUUCAAGUCGAGCGAACAGACGAGGAGCUUGCUCCUCUGACGUUAGCGGCGGACGGGUGAGUAACACGUGGAUAACCUACCUAUAAGACUGGGAUAACUUCUGGAAACCGGCGCUAAUACCGGAUAAUAUAUUGAACCGCAUGGUUCAAUAGUCAAAGACGGUUUUGCUGUCACUUAUAGAUGGAUCCGCGCCGCAUUAGCUAGUUGGUAAGGUAACGGCUUACCAAGGCAACGAUGCGUAGCCGACCUGAGAGGGUGAUCGGCCACACUGGAACUGAGACACGGUCAAGACUCCUACGGGAGGCAGCAGUAGGGAAUCUACCGCAAUGGGCGAAAGCGUGACGGAGCAACGCCGCGUGAGUGAUGAAGGUAUACGGAUCGUAAAACUCUGUUAUUAGGGAAGAACAAAUGUGUAAGUAACUAUGCACGUCUUGACGGUACCUAAUCAGAAAGCCACGGCUAACUACGUG